GAUGAACGCUGGCGGCGUGCCUAAUACAUGCAAGUCGAGCGAACAGACGAGGAGCUUGCUCCUCUGACGUUAGCGGCGGACGGGUGAGUAACACGUGGAUAACCUACCUAUAAUACUGGGAUAACUUCGGGAAACCGGAGCUAAUACCGGAUAAUAUAUUGAACCGCAUGGUUCAAUAGUGAAAGACGGUUUUGCUGUCACUUAUAGAUGGAUCCGCGCCGCAUUAGCUAGUUGGUAAGGUAACGGCUUACCAAGGCAACGAUGCGUAGCCGACCUGAGAGGGUGAGCGGCCACACUGGAACUGAGACACGGUCCAGACUCCUACGGGAGGCAGCAGUAGGGAAUCUUCCGCAAAGGGCGGAAGCUUGACGGAGCAACGCCGCGUGAGUGAUGAAGGUCUUCGGAUCGUAAAACUCUGUUAUUAGGGAAGAACAAAUGUGUAAGUAACUAUGCACGUCUUGACGGUACCUAAUCAGAGAGCCACGGCUAACUACGUG
RNAcentral lists this ribosomal RNA (497 nucleotides) under uncultured bacterium. Its description in RNAcentral is "partial 16S ribosomal RNA". It matches the Rfam family "Bacterial small subunit ribosomal RNA", at positions 28 to 507 of the family's 1533-position model. The record is from RNAcentral.